Molecule: ribosomal RNA, 657 nt
Filed under: uncultured bacterium
Lineage: Bacteria
Description: bacterial SSU rRNA
Rfam family: Bacterial small subunit ribosomal RNA
Source: RNAcentral
GCCGUAGCUAACGCAUUAAGUACCCCGCCUGGGGAGUACGGCCGCAAGGCUAAAACUCAAAGGAAUUGACGGGGCCCCGCACAAGCGGCGGAGCAUGCGGAUUAAUUCGAUGCAACGCGAAGAACCUUACCUGGGUUUGACAUAUAUCGGAAACGUUCAGAGGUGGGCGCCCCGUAAGGUCGGUAUACAGGUGGUGCAUGGCUGUCGUCAGCUCGUGUCGUGAGAUGUUGGGUUAAGUCCCGCAACGAGCGCAACCCUCGUCCAAUGUUGCCAGCGGGUUAUGCCGGGGACUCAUUGGAGACCGCCGGGGUCAACUCGGAGGAAGGUGGGGAUGACGUCAAGUCAUCAUGCCCCUUAUGUCCAGGGCUUCACGCAUGCUACAAUGGCCGGUACAAAGAGUUGCGAGCCUGUGAGGGUGAGCGAAUCUCAAAAAGCCGGUCUCAGUUCGGAUUGGGGUCUGCAACUCGACCCCAUGAAGUCGGAGUCGCUAGUAAUCGCAGAUCAGCAACGCUGCGGUGAAUACGUUCCCGGGGCUUGUACACACCGCCCGUCAAGUCAUGAAAGUCGGUAACACCCGAAGCCGGCGGCCUAACCCGUUUGGGGGGGAGCUGUCGAAGGUGGGACUGGUAAUUAGGACUAAGUCGUAACAAGGUAACC